This 257-nucleotide ribosomal RNA is filed under the name uncultured prokaryote. RNAcentral's name for it is "partial 16S ribosomal RNA". It matches the Rfam family "Bacterial small subunit ribosomal RNA", at positions 521 to 777 of the family's 1533-position model. The record is from RNAcentral.
UAAUACGGAGGGUGCAAGCGUUAUCCGGAUUCACUGGGUUUAAAGGGUGCGUAGGAGGGCAGGGAAGUCCGUGGUGAAAUCCUAGAGCUUAACUCUAGAACUGCCGUGGAUACUCUCUGUCUUGAAUCCCGUGGAGAUGAGCGGAAUAUGUCAUGUAGCGGUGAAAUGCUUAGAUAUGACAUAGAACACCAAUUGCGAAGGCAGCUCGUUACACGAAGAUUGACUCUGAGGCACGAAAGCGUGGGGAUCAAACAGGA